Long non-coding RNA from Arvicanthis niloticus (Nile rat), 7879 nucleotides. RefSeq lists it as uncharacterized. Lineage: Eukaryota; Metazoa; Chordata; Mammalia; Rodentia; Muridae. The record is from RefSeq and is a predicted model, not a curated record.
CUUUUGCGCCCCCGCCCCUAGGUUGGCGGACUAGAGAAGGAGCGAAGAUGGCGGAGUGAGGCGUGCCCCGGGCAGCUGGCCUGCGGGCCCGGGGCAGGCCUCCGGCGAGAAGCGGAGUACUUGUGCUGAACCGUGUGAGGAACCUUAUCACACAAAAUGAACAUUUUCCUGACCUUAGGUGCUUUUAUAUUCAGCUCAACAUUCUGAACUCAGGACUUGGCAAGAGUUCCUGUGUGGACUGCUCAGUGAGAUGUCCUGGUUCUUCCAUCCCGUUACUUUCCCCAGUGAGAUGCGGUAUCUUUCGACAGAUUACCUCCAUGGUUUAGGAUGCAAAGACUGCUUUUCUUUUAUUUCAUGUCAGACUCAACACAGAAAAGCCCUGAGGAUGCAGCUGCCCUGUUGACUUCAAGAAGAAAAUAAACAACUGACUUGGGUCCUCUGCAGUUUUUUAAUUAUAAAGACACUGUUUGCAAGUAGAAGGAAGAUGUUGAAUGUGAAAAAAGUGCUUAGGUUAUGUGGCGUGAAUUGUUUUCUUUUUCAAAGAUCCAAACAAGAAGACUGAACAAAUACCAAAUGUGGGUGACUUCAGGUUUUUUUUUAAAAUGUCUUCCAUUUUUAACACUAUUAUAAGCACAGUUGAAACAGCAGAGGUAAAUUCCAAAUAUUUAAUAUAAUUUGAGGUAAAAGAAAUGUUAUCUAAGUUCUGGCUCACUCUUUGACAGAUUUCCUGGACAAAAACAAGAUAGGAUAAAAGCAGAAACCAGGUUUAGUUUCAUAUGGGAGUGAAACCAUUACAGUUUUAUGUGUAUAAAUCCACAGUUUUUAAACAAGAUUUUUCUCUUGAAGAAGAAACCUGUUGUUUAUAAGAAGGCUUUGGACAGUUUGAUAGUCUUAAAUGUUUGGGUUUUGUCUGUUUUGCUUUGCUUUUUUUUAAUCCUGCUCAGGAAGGACCAGCUGGGCCUGUGGCUAGUUCAGAGUGGGAAGAAAACAUAGGAUGAGGUGAUGCUCACCCUGUACUGCCAGUUCGUGGGAGGCCAAGGCAGGAAGAUCAGAUGUUCAGGGCCAGCUUGGACGUCAUGAUGAGACUCAAAACCAGCAGGAAAAAAAAAUGGAGUCCAGUAAUACCCUCUUUUAUAUUCCUUUUGUGGAAUCACAUGGAACAUGUGAGACUGGCUUUCCAUGUGGCUGGAAGGGAGCCGGCAUAUGUGGUCUGUCAGGGUGAUGUGGUGGGACUUACAGGAAUGAAGGGAAAACUAAGGCUUGGCAUAUAAAUCCUUUAUUGUAAGAAAAAGAAGCAAAGCUGUCCAAUGUAGCAUUGUCUGACUUUUUAACAUUUUUACAUCAUGUAGUUGCAUUUUUUUUUUAUAAAAGUAUAAAUAACUUCCUUCAACCCAAGAUGGGUACUUGGACAGAUGUUUUUCUAGGUGAUAAUGUAUUCUGAAAUUCUGUGACUCAGGUAAAUUUUCACAGUUUGAGUUGAGCUGUCUUAUCAGAGAAUGGGCCUCAGGAGCAAUGUUCCCAGUCCUGUGGUUGGUUCACUAUAGUCUCAAAAGACAUUUGGGAUCUGAAUCAAGCUUCAAAUAAGAAAAGCAGAUCUGAUAAGAAGUGUGGAUCUAGCUGCUAGUCACUAUAGAUUUAAAGGAAAUUCGGGGGGGGGAGGGGAAUAACUCAAGAAAACUAGUUCUAAAAAGAGGUGAUACAUGCUCCUUUCUUGCUUUAAUAGUUAUGCUAUGUGGAACUAUUGUGGAAAUAAUCUCUUUGCUUCCCAAUCAGUGAAAGUCUAUUACAUGGGAUGCCAAGCUUUUAUAUGAGAGGAUGCCGUUGUUUGCAACGGCUGCCAGUAGAGGAGUUUUAAGCUUGUUAGAUGAGUUAGAAACAGAUGCUGUUGGAGCUGAUUUCUGGAACGGUUUCUCAGUGCUGCAGGUGCUGUGAAUUUGAGUCAUAGAAAUGAUCAAAAUUAGGAAAUAUUGGACAUUCAUGGUUAGUCAGAUUGGGCAACAAAUUUGAAUUUAUGCUAAAAGCUUUUUCGUAAAUAUUUAUUAUAAAUAACCUAUUAAUAAGAGCAAAUAAUGAUAAAACACUGGAGAAAUAACAAGUUAAAGGUAACCUAAAUUGCUGGGCUUCGUUGCUCACACUUGUAACUACAGCAUUUUGGAGACUGAGGCAGGAGGAUUGGCCAUAAAAGAUCAAAGCCACUCUGAAUGACAAACCCUGUCUCAAAAUGAAACAAAAAUAUAACCCACAUUUUUCAAGUGCCCUAGCCACUAAUAUUUUUAUUUAGAAGACAAACCAGCUGGUGAUUGAGAACAUUUCCUAGAUGCCAAGCUGUCCUGCACCUUGCCCUCGGGCAGGGGCUGUCACUACCAGGGGAGUGUCACCCCUUUGUUCCAGAUGCUUGUUCCAUGUGGGUGCACUUUAUCGGAGACACUCCUGCAUCCUGCAUGGUUAACACCAAACGGUGUUCACAGCAUGGGUGGUUCCCUGCUCUAGUUGCCUGGUGUGUGGCACAUUUCCAUUUAUAGUCUUACUUGGGUUUUCUUCUUAAUAGCAGCAAAAACUAUCAUUGUAGAGUUGUGCCUCCAUUUAUAGCUGUGCCUCCUCCCUUCUCCAUGUAAGCUGGCAGUUUUUCUUUUGAAGUUACUAAACAAAAACGGGAUAUGUGCAAUAUAAAUAUAUAUAUAAUGUAUAUUUUAAUACUUGUGGACAAGUGUUACAAGUUGUUUAAGAACAACAAAAUCACCAAUGUCUUCCAUUUUGAGAUGUGUAUAGUUUUGUAAGCAGUAGUGCUUGACAGCGUAUUGUAGUGCCAUGUUAGGGGUUAGUGCAUGAAUUUAGUAUAAUUUUAAACUUCAAGAUGAAAUAUUGAUAAUAACCAGUAGUGUAAAAAGUGUGGAAAAUCCUAGACCUUUACUUUUUUUGUGUAUGAAUCUAUGAUAGUCUCCCUGGGGAUAGGAGACAAAGGCCAAAACAACUAAUGUCUGGACAGAAAUGUGGGCUCACACUGAGAAACAUUGUGCUUGGGGGAAUGCUCAGCCUCUCACAAGGUAGCUGGAAAUAGUUGCCUUUGUCCUUAAAGCAAGGCCUGGGUUCAUGCUUGUCUUGCUUUCUUAAUUUGAAGCUAGCUUGUUCUUGUAUUGAUUUUCCAUUGUAUGUCUUGGGUUCAUUUUUCCUGUUUUAUGUUCAGAAAAUAAUUUUCUGUUUUGCAUGUCUGGGAUGCUAUGCUGAUAGCUUUGGAAUGUUUACUCCAUGGCUAUUUCCUCUCCUGUUUGCAGCAUGUGUGCUGAUUGCAGAACUUUGUCAGCAGUUUGGAGUAUCCUGUACUUUGGGCUUUGCUCAGUUCCACAUCUGUCUUGGGUGUUUAGUCAGUCUUUCUUAUGAGAACUGAUAGUUCAAUGGGGCCCAUGUAGAUUGACAAGAAGUAUGUUGGCCUCUCCUUUGGUAAUUGUUGACAGCUUUCACUUUUUUCUACUUUCCUUAUGGAAAUAAAGUAGUUGCUUUGUUCUGAAAAAUAAAGUUUUCUGUAAAAUGGAAUUCCUACCUCUAAAAGCUGCCUAGGAAACUUGGUAGUAACCAUUUUCUGGAGAGUUGUGGGUUUUUUGAUUUUUUGUUUGUUUGUUUGUUUGUUCCUUUUUUAUAAUUGUUAGAAAUAGAGUCCUGCUGGGUGUGGUGGUGGAUACCUGUAAACUUCCAGCAUUUGGGAAGCUGAGGCAGGAAGAUCAGGAGUUCACGGUCAUCCUCUGCUGCAUAGUAGUUGGAGGUCAGCCUGGGAUAUAUGAGACCUGUUUCAGGAAACCAAAAGAAAAAGAAAGAAAGAAAAGCAUAUGUAGCAUUUAUUAACAUGUAUUACAUUAGUAUGAAAGGAAAUGUAAAACUUCCCCAUAGGAACUAGAUAUGAGUCUGGUAUUAGAUAUCCAGGGACCCAGGAACAGACUCUCGUAGAAUAUUAAGUAUUUAUACUCUUCAUUCAAGUAGGUGGUUAGCGCCUGGGAGAAUCUGCUUCUGAAAAGCAUUUAGGAAACAAAGGGGAAAACCUUGAAAAAGUAAUGCAUACAAAGUAGCACAGUAUAUAGGAAAGGACGUUUCCUGUUGCAAAUAACAAAAGCCAUAAAUGAACUAAUAAUGUUAAAGAGGUGGAAUUCUGUAGCAAUAAUAGUUCUGUAUGUGUGGUUAAUUGUGCUCACAAAGCUGUGUGGUUGAGUUUGUGGGGCCCUGCAGUUUUAUAGAGUUCCACAAAAGAAAAAAAAAACACAUCCUAGUUAAAAGGCAUUUAAACUAUGAAUGUAUAUGAAUGUAUCUGCGUGAAAAAAUUACCAACUUUGAUAUAUGUGUUAAAGAUCCUAUUUUGUUUCCCUGGAGUUUACAGCUGUUGAAAAUUUUCUAUUGCUUAAUCUGGAAUCCCAGUGAAGCCAACAUGUAAGGGUCUUGCUUAAAUUGUUUGUAUUAAUAGUCAUUUACUAUAUAGAAUGACCUAUGCUUUAUUCAAAUAAUAUAACCUUUGUUCAUUGGGUUCCUGGCUACCGUUUCAAAAGGAAAAGGUUUGUGUGUGUGAUUGGUGUGUCUCGGGGGAAGGGGAGCCUCAGGAGCUUACUGAGUUUUCCCUGUACUUAGCCUCAAGGAAGUUAGGAUUAAAAGUGAACAGAAUGAGUGGCAGUGCCCAGGCAGGGUGUUUCUGAACAUCUGAUCAGUGUAUGUAAUAAGCUCAUGGCCAGUGUGCUAUCCUGUUAACAAGGAGAACCCAGCAGACUCGUUCCUUAUCUGAGAUGUAAAAUGGAACCAGGGCCACCCCUCACUUCCUUUACCUCAUGUUCACUGUGGCCACUUAGCACCUUGAACAUCCCUGAAAAGAUGUGGGUCUGUGCUCUUUUGUUUUCCCAGGGGAAGAAAAGUAAAAAAGUAGUUUUGUAGAUAUAAGACUCUUAUUUUAUUACAAGCCUAAGGGUAGGGAAAAGACAAUAUUGAGUGUAGUUUCUCUUUAGGUGUCCUAUGCUGUCCAUGUUAGCUUUUGGGACAACCAAGCAAUAUUCACAACAACUGCAUGAUCAUGAAGAUGUGGCUAAUUCAGUUAGAUCAGAGAUUACCCUUAACAGCCAAGUUUAUGGUUCUAAAUGCAAAAAUACGCUACAAGACUUUGUGGUCUCAAAAUAUGUGGUUAAUUAGUAUUCAGUCUUACUGUAGUCUCUUGUUUACUCUUUAUGUACCUGUGAUAUGCAAAAUAUGAAAAAGACACCCCUCCCCCCAGCCUUCAGGGUUUACAUUCUCAUGGUGCUGUAGGUGCAAGCAUACUGUCUCUACUUUAUUCAGAACAUUGCUUGGCUACUAAUUAUACCAUUUUGGAAGAACCAUUUGGCCAAGAGUUUUAAGAUGCAGAGGGCUAUGUUGAAUUUCAGGGCAUUACUGCUUUUGUUUACACUGUUUUAGCUCUGCUCCUCAACUUUUCCCAGGGAGCUGUUCAUUAAUACGAAUCAGAAAAGAAACCAUUCUGCCCAAGUACCCUCACCACCCUCCAGCUCUCAGUAAGUGGCCAAGAAAACUUGUUCCAUAAAGACGAUCACCUCAGUUCCUUUUUCCCAGGGUUUUACACUUAUUCUUUACCUUCCAAGGGCCAGGAUUUCUAGAUAAACCUUUUAGAACCAAACAGAAGUCUUAAGUUUAGCUUUUUUGUGUGUGACUUGUUUUGAAGCAGCGUUAUAGUAGAUUACCUGACUGCAUCUCUGAGGAAUUUGACUGACAUAUUCAGUUGAAGUUUUGCAUGUAUCAUUGCUUUUUCCCAAGAUUUGGAAUCAAAGGGUUUGCAUGUUUAUUAAAACCAGGCCUGAUUGGAAGUGUAAGCAAUAGUUGCAGGCCCAUAACUGAUUCUAGAAUGCUAACAUUCUAAUGCAUGGUUGAAAUUUUUUGUUGUUAGGUAAUUAUUAGUCAUUUUAUAUAUGCAUUUAUCAAUAAUGAAGCAAUAGAUACUUAAACCAAUAGCUUGGUUUUAUUGUUUGAAUUACUUCUAUUUUCUAAUUAAAGAUUGUCUUACUUCCAUUGAAAAUUGGAAGUAUAAGAUAAACAAGGGGCAACCACAAGACAUUCAAACUGUUAGGAAAACAGCAAGCAGUGCUAGCUCUGUUUCCUAGCUCUAUUUAUUCCCAAGCAUGUUUGCAAAUAAAAGAUAAACUAAGCAUGUUGAAUAAGCUGCUGUAAUCAGGACGGUGCAGGGUUUCAGAAGAGUGGGGAAGUAGGCCAAGUAGAGUCAUCUUUCUUCAGAAAUAACAGUGUUCACUGCAAAAUUACUAGCUGUGGGACUUGUCUGAUUAGGUUUAUAUAGACUACGUUUGGGGUUUCUUAAAACUAUAGAUUGAGCCAGAUUCGUGGUCUUGAACAGGCAGGAGCUAGCCUAAAUGCCAUGGCCAGACUCCAGCAUCAGUGAACACAGACUGCAGUUCAGUAAUGCGGCAUCUGUUCUGGAAGCUGCUGACUGACCAUCUGCAAGGACCCUGUAGCAAGGUUUCUGUCGAGCUACAGAAGUCUGGCUACUCAGACUGUGGCUGUGGCUGUAUUUGCAGCUAUAGAGCUGUCAGACUGUGGCUGUGGCUAUAUUUACAACUUAGAGCUGUCAGACUGUGCCUGUGGCUGUAUUUGCAGCUGUAGAACUGGAGUUUAGUUUAGAUGAGUUGGUCAAAAUGUGUAACUUGCCUGAAACUUAAUUCCUGAUGAACAGGAAAAGAAUUUCUUCCUCCAAAAAAGACAUUUAAUUGGAUGAAUGAGUAUUGGUUUGUUACAAUACUGAAAGGAACAAAAGUGUAAUCUACUGGCAGAACAUUUACCUGAGAAAAUGGGUGCAAUUCCCAGCACUACCAAAAACAAAAAAAAAAACAAAACAAAAAAAAAACUCACCUCAGAGUGGUAGCAUUAGAAUUUCUUGACUUUGAAAUGCAAGCUACAAAUGGUUUUGACAAAUGAUGAGAAGUAUUUAUGAUGUCUGAAAGACCUAAAUAGAUUUUAAAUAAAACUGUUUCACUGGGUUCAGUCCAAUUUACAUGUUAUAUGAUGGAAAAAUAGUUUCAAAUGUAACUUUAGCUGCGGUACUUUGCUAUGGAUGUUGACUGGCAUGGUAACUUCCAACCUUCAGAGCUGAAUUAAACUUGUCAGUGUGAUGUUUGCUUUCCACUAAAACAUUGGAAUUGAGGUAUAUGAUGUAUCCCAAAUAGAAGUUCUUUGUCACUUACUGACCCUCUGCCAGCCAAUAAAGAUGUCAGAGUUCUCCCUUCUAGCAAUCUCUUCCUAACAGUCCCUAUAGUCAGAGCCUCAGACAGCAAGACUCGAUGUGUUUGGUAGACUCAGGCUUAUAAGGUACCUUGAAAGGCAGAAUGCAAUUAGGAUUAUUGGUGAUGUUCCAAACAUCUUUGGGAAUGGUAUGCUGUAUCCUUAAUUUAAAUGUUCUUUUGUGCUUGAGACAUAGUUUUUGGAGAACACUUGGACUCUGGGGCCAGUCCUCAGCACUGACACCUAUCUCAAGGAUCAGACAAGUAUUUUGUCAGUGUAUUAUCAGUCUAUAAACAUUACUAGUCUGGGCAUUAACCUUAAACCUAAGCACCCCUUUAAUGAAAAAGAUUGAAUAGUAAUCUCCUUGAGAGUGGUGCAUUUUCUGCCCUUCAAGCAUAGGUGUCACUGUUCGCUUGCCCUUCCUUGUACCUUCUGCUGUGCCUGCCACCAGUGUAUGAGGUGACAGCUUCAUUGAAUGUUUGAAGCACUACAAAAGGCAGCUUCUUAAUCUAUGCAUCUUUGGGAGUUUUGAAGAAAUUUGACUUCUUGGAAAAGGAACUGUUUUGAGAGUCUGAAACUGCACCUGUAUGUAUAUAUUUUUAGCAAUAAAGCAUGAGCAAAGAAUGCACUGAAA